This 465-nucleotide ribosomal RNA is filed under the name uncultured bacterium. Its description in RNAcentral is "partial 16S ribosomal RNA". It matches the Rfam family "Bacterial small subunit ribosomal RNA", at positions 28 to 507 of the family's 1533-position model. The record is from RNAcentral.
GACGAACGCUGGCGGCGUGCUUAACACAUGCAAGUCGAGCGGAAAGGCCACUUUGGGGGUACUCGAGUGGCGAACGGGGGAGUAACACGAGAGUAACCUGAACUUGACUACGGGAUAACUUCAGGAAACGGGGGCUAAUACCGGAUAGGAAUACUUGAUGCAAGGGGGGGGUUGGAAAGCUUCGGCGGUUUUGGAUGGACUCGAGGCUGAUCAGCUUGUUGGUGGGGUAGUGGCUUACCAAGGCUUUGACGGGAAGCCGGCCUGAGAGGGCGACCGGCCACAUUGAGACUGAGGUGCGGCCCGGGCUCCUACGCGAGGCAGCAGUGGGGAAUCUUGCCCAAUGGGCGGAAGCCUGAUGCAGCAACUCCGCGUGCCGUAUGACGGCCUUCUGGUUGUAAACCGCUUUCAGCAGGGGCGAUGCUUGUGGUGACGGUACCUGCAGAAAAAGCCCCGGCUAACUACGUG